Acanthosepion pharaonis is the source of this 90-nucleotide non-coding RNA. The record is from the annotation of a GenBank genome assembly. Lineage: Eukaryota; Metazoa; Mollusca; Cephalopoda; Sepiida; Sepiidae.
ACGGUCAAAUCACGCUGAAACACCGGUUCUCGUACGAUCACCGAAGUUAAGCAGCGUAGAGCCAGGUCAGUACUUAGAUGGGGACCGCCU